CCGGGUAGGCUGGCGGCGUGCUUACACAUGCAAGUCGAGCGAAGCGAUUCAAAUGAAGUUUUCGGAUGGAUUUUGAAUUGACUUAGCGGCGGACGGGUGAGUAACGCGUGGGUAACCUGCCUCAUACAGGGGGAUAACAGUCGGAAACGACUGCUAAUACCGCAUAAGCACACAGUGCCGCAUGGUACAGUGUGAAAAACUCCGGUGGUAUGAGAUGGACCCGCGUCUGAUUAGGUAGUUGGUGAGGUAACGGCCCACCAAGCCGACGAUCAGUAGCCGACCUGAGAGGGUGACCGGCCACAUUGGGACUGAGACACGGCCCAAACUCCUACGGGAGGCAGCAGUGGGGAAUAUUGGACAAUGGGGGAAACCCUGAUCCAGCGACGCCGCGUGAGUGAAGAAGUAUUUCGGUAUGUAAAGCUCUAUCAGCAGGGAAGAAAAUGACGGUACCUGACUAAGAAGCCCCGGCUAACUACGUGCCAGCAGCCGCGGUAAUACGUAGGGGGCAAGCGUUAUCCGGAUUUACUGGGUGUAAAGGGAGCGUAGACGGCACUGCAAGUCUGGAGUGAAAGCCCGGGGCUCAACCCCGGGACUGCUUUGGAAACUGUGGUGCUAGAGUGCAGGAGAGGUAAGUGGAAUUCCUAGUGUAGCGGUGAAAUGCGUAGAUAUUAGGAGGAACACCAGUGGCGAAGGCGGCUUACUGGACUGUAACUGACGUUGAGGCUCGAAAGCGUGGGAGCAAACAGGAUUAGAUACCCUGGUAGUCCACG
RNAcentral lists this ribosomal RNA (770 nucleotides) under uncultured bacterium. RNAcentral describes it as "bacterial SSU rRNA". It matches the Rfam family "Bacterial small subunit ribosomal RNA", at positions 25 to 799 of the family's 1533-position model. The record is from RNAcentral.